Molecule: unclassified non-coding RNA, 286 nt
Filed under: fungal sp.
Lineage: Eukaryota; Fungi
Description: partial internal transcribed spacer region
Rfam family: Eukaryotic small subunit ribosomal RNA (bases 1-46)
Source: RNAcentral
AAGUCGUAACAAGGUUUCCGUAGGUGAACCUGCGGAAGGAUCAUUAACACAAGUACAUUUCUUUUACCCAAAGAAUGUAUUUUUCACCCCAUUGUGUAAACCUGUUCUCCAGUCUUCCCGGGCGCAUGCGUGAAAACGUGCGCGCCUGUUGGCUUACAAACUUUAUUUCACCCCUUGAACUGUCUUUUGACUGACAUCUGAGUUGUGUCUUUUACUUCGUGUAAAAAACACACUCUGCCAUAUAUCAAACGCUGAACAACUCUUAGCAACGGAUAUCUUGGCUCUC